Molecule: long non-coding RNA, 266 nt
Filed under: Lathyrus oleraceus (garden pea)
Lineage: Eukaryota; Viridiplantae; Streptophyta; Magnoliopsida; Fabales; Fabaceae
Description: Pisum sativum (pea) long non-coding RNA (PSAT_LNC026053)
Source: RNAcentral
UUGUAUUGGCCUAAAGCUUUUGUACUACGUACUUAGUUGAAAUGAAUGAAUGAAAAGUUUGUCCUUCUUUUAUUUCCUGUUCUAGUGCUCUUUUAAACGCUUGUUAAUAACAACCUUUGUAAAUGGUUUCUUGAAAAUAAAAUAAAAACAUAAAAAAAAGGAAGGCAUUUUUUACAUCCACAUGCAUUCAAUGCACAUCUUGCAUUUCUUUCCAAGAAAAUCAAAAACUCAUACACUAUACCCUUUCAUUCAGAAACACUGACUAC